CAGUAGCCGCGGUAAUACGUAGGGGGCAAGCGUUAUCCGGAAUUAUUGGGCGUAAAGCGCGCGCAGGUGGUUUAAUAAGUCUGAUGUGAAAGCCCACGGCUCAACCGUGGAGGGUCAUUGGAAACUGUUAAACUUGAGUGCAGGAGAGAAAAGUGGAAUUCCUAGUGUAGCGGUGAAAUGCGUAGAGAUUAGGAGGAACACCAGUGGCGAAGGCGGCUUUUUGGCCUGUAACUGACACUGAGGCGCGAAAGCGUGGGGAGCAAACAGGAUUAGAUACCCCUGUAGUCCCUGUCUCUUAUAC
This 301-nucleotide ribosomal RNA is filed under the name uncultured bacterium. RNAcentral describes it as "partial 16S ribosomal RNA". It matches the Rfam family "Bacterial small subunit ribosomal RNA", at positions 509 to 807 of the family's 1533-position model. The record is from RNAcentral.